Molecule: long non-coding RNA, 13219 nt
Filed under: Homo sapiens (human)
Lineage: Eukaryota; Metazoa; Chordata; Mammalia; Primates; Hominidae
Description: HSALNT0138312
Source: RNAcentral
GUGAGUAUAUCCAUCUCCGGGGGCGGGUAAUGGGGGUUGUCUGCACAGAGUUUUGUGAUGUGAACCAUCUAUAGGUCUCUGUUGUGGACAGAGACCAUGCCUGUUCCGGUGGAGGUGGCAGGGGGCAGGGAGGUGCAAUGGACUUUGUGAAAGUUCUUAGCUUUGGUGAUUUAAUGCUCUAUUUUUGUGCUGGUUGGUCUCCUGCCAGGAGGUGGCACUUUCCAGAAAGCAUCAACUGUAGUAAUAAGGGGAGGAACUGCAGUGGGCGGGGCCCUAGAACUCCCAAGAUUAUAUGCCCUUUGUCUUCCGCUAGCAGGUCAGGUAGGGAAGGACCAUCAGGUAGGGAUGGGGCUUGGCAUGUCUGAGCUGAGACUCUCCUUGGGCAGGUCUUGCUGGGGCUGCUGUGGGGGGUGGAGGUGAGAUUCACAGGUCACUGGAGUUGUGUACCUAGGAGUAUUAUGGCUGCCUCUGCUGAGACAUGCAGGUUGUCAGGGAAGUGGGGGAAAGCCGGCAGUCACAGGCCUCACCCAGCUCCCACACAAACCGAAGGGUCGGUCUCACUCCCACUGUGUCCCCCUGCAACAGCCCCCAGACAGUUUCCAGGCGGAAAGCAUAAGGGCUUGAAAACCUGCCCCAGGCUACCCACCUCCCAGCUGCCAAAGAAAGGGCUAGGUUCUUCCCCAGCCUGUGAAGUCUGCACACCAGAUUUGCACCCUCCCCCGAGUUCUGGCCAGGAGGCUUCUCACCCCGUUCAAAUUGUUACGGGGUUCAGCUGAGAUUUCCUUCUCCCUGUGGAGUUUUACCACCUGCUCCUCCCCUGUUGGAUCCCUAUGGUGCCAGGCAGGCAUGGGCUGCUCGGGGACCAGAGAGCUCCCAGGGCCUUCCUGCUGCUUCGUCUACCCCUGUAUUUUGCUUGGCUCUACAAAUUGACUCAGCUCCAGUGGCAAAAGUGGAGACCAGUGCAUUGCUAUUCUACAUGUAAUGGUUCUGAGCUUAUUUCUUCUGGGGCAAUUGGAGCAGAUGGACCAUUUAAGCCCUUGAAGCUUAUGAUGUAUUCGUGGAGCACCUGAACUGUCAUUUCAAAGAAUACAUCACCAUUUUAUUGAGGACAAUAAUACGAAAUGUGAUAGAUUGCCUGGUUAAAUCUCAAACCACUUCAUCUGGUUACUUUGGGAUUUUCCUUUUUUCCAGGAAAAAAGAUUAUGGAGGUAUAAUUGACAAAAGUUGUGUAUAUUUUAGGUGUACAUAUGAUGUUUUGCUAUAUUUAUAUGUGGUAAAAUGUUUACCAAAAUCAAGUUAUUUAAGAUCUACUCUUUUAGCAAAUCUCAACUAUACAUUAUUAAUUAUAGUCAUCAUACUAUACAUUGGGUCUCCAGAAUUUAUUUUUUCCAUAAUUGAAAGUUUGUACCCUUUGGCCAGCAUCUCUUCACUGUGGCAUUUUAUAAAUCAGAUUUUUCAAUUAUAUUUUCCAGAAGGGCACUGAUAAAGGAGGACGUCUAACACAUCCUCAUGGAUAUAUUGAGAUAAUGCUUACUUCCACAAGAACACGUAUGUAACUCCAAAUCCAAUGUGAUUGAGACAAUGGGUGAUAUUAUAAGGAUAGUCUUUUUUUUAAAAAAAAAUACUUUCCAUGAACCUUAGUACCAUGUUAUUCAUAAUAAAUCAUCUUUGUCAUAUCACUGCUGAUCAUGACACAUUAGAUUCUGGCUGCAUCCCCAUGGGGAAUGCUGCUGCUAUAAACCAUGCAAGAACCUAGGAAUACAACAAUUAUAACCUAAGAGGUGAAAAGAUGAACAAUAGUGUGUGAAAAACAUCAAGAUGAGAGAGACAGACUAAAAUAUUUAGCCAUCAAUGAUCUGAUGUGGCAUCACAUGAAGAUGUGCUUCUAAGUGCAAAUGAAUAGCCCAUGAACUGGACUCAUGAAAAUUACCUAUGCCAAGAAAAAAAUCAUCAUUUACUAAUAAAUGUAUCACAACUGUCAUUCCAAUGAAUAUUCAUCACACACACACGCACACAUUUAGAAGCUGCUGAACUCAAAUAACUGGACUUGGCUAUUUUUCCCUAUUUCGUUCAGACACUAUACAGUUCAUCACCAGGGCAGUGCAAGAAAUGAUUACCACCUUCAUUAUGCAACCUCUGUAUUCAUUGGCAAAGGAAAAAAGUUAAUAGUAUUCAUGUGAUUGUCAACGAUGUAUACUUCGUUGUUAGAGAAAGAUAAGAGUUUAAAACAAUUUUUUAUCUCUAUGUUUAUCUUCUACAUUGUCAUGUAAAACCAAAAAUCUGAGAUUUGAAUACUUCACAAGACUAGCCAUAAGCUUUCUGUUUGCUGGUUUGUAUCUUUUCUUGCUUUCAAUUUUAACGCAGUCAAAACCCUAAGGGAUUAGUUCUCAUCUCUUAAGAAUGACUGUUUAGCAUAUAAUUUAUUACCACCUUCGGUAUGCAUAAACUCCCUAUUUUAUUUAAAGAUACCAGGUGCAAUAUUACCAUGGAUCUAAACUGGAAAUCAGACUCCCAAAUGAGAUAUGUUUUCCUUAGUGGUUGUGUAAAAUUCCCAUUAUGCUAAUAGUACUUCAGAGUGCAUGUUAAGAAAGAAUAUAGCCCUAAGUGUCUAUUUAUGAAAGCUUCUCUUUGAAAAGGAAAGUCUUUUAAAAUGAUACUCAUUUUUAGUACAUGAAAAGUAUUAGACAUUCUCGUGAUUGGUUAAUUGUACCAUGAUUUUCACAAAAUAGUUAAAUCCCAUUUACUUCUGGAAAUCUGGAUUAUAUAAAACUCUCAUUAUUCUGGUGGUGCUACACUAUUGGCUACACAUUGUUUAUAUGUUCAUUCCUUAGGCAUCCUGAAUAAUUUUUGUUAUAUUUCAACAUUUGAGACAUUUGGGAUCCACAGCAGUUUUUUAAAAAGUGUUUUAACUACAUGUCUUGCCCUUUUUCUUGUCUCAAUUUAAGUUUCUUUUUAAAUUGAGAAAUGUAUUUAUUUGAUGAAAUGAGCUAAAAGCAUAUUUUAAUAAUUUUCAAUUACUCCAUAAGGGUAACAUCUGGCUGUUUACAUCAAAAGGCAAAAUAUGGUAUUCAUAAGAGUUUAUAAAUAAUAUAUAUAUAUUAGAUCAGAUGAAUGCUCUAUGAAGUUUUUACUCUGCCACCUACAGUGAAUAUAUAAACUUAAAAGAUUAAUUGAAUAUUCUCUAACCAUGAAUAAGCAAAUUCCCAUUACUUAAUACUACAAUAUAGAUUUCCAAAGUAAUUAACACUUUGCAUUUCUGUUCCGUGAAAUUCUGUCUGUAGCAUAUUAAGUAUACUUUUGUACUGAAAGGAGUUUCUUCAUGACCAAAAAUACUCUUCAGGGGCAAAGUAAGAAUUUUGUACACUAAACCGUCACCAAAUGAUUCUAUAGGGUCUAACACAAUCACUUUGUUUUCUAAGUAUUGCUACCUUAUUUCUGGAAAUGCUUUACCCCUCUGGGAGACACAGUCUAACCAGUUUGAUUAAAGUCAUUUGGAACAAUGUCCUUCUUUAUCCUCUUUCCUUUUACUGUAUUUGUGUGAAAAUCUAUUACGGACACUCCAUUGUGCAGGUAUAGUAAUUAAAACCAGGUGGAAAGUUGGUAUAUAUUUGUAUCUUUUCAGUAAUUGCAAUAGACUCAAAUAUUUCUAAUUGAAACGACUGGAUUCCUCCUCCAAUUAUUGUCUCCACAGAAUUACAUGAAACUCUUACCAUGACACUCUGCCCAGGCCUGUUCCUCAUCAUUAUCUUGUUCCCUCCUACUAAUGGGACACUUUUACCAAAUUUUGGCUGACCUCAUUCAGGUGGAAAGGAGAAGAAUUUAUUAAAUCAAUUUUUAUAUAUAACAGCACAGGAUUUCCUUCCCUUUCACCAACUCUCCCACUCCUCUCUCUCCCCCAUAUAGAAUGUGAACAAGAAAUAUUUGUUGAAUGCAGACUCCCUGCAAACUAUUUUUUUCUUUUUGAUCAAAAUGAAUAAUUCAUUAGACUAAUAAGAAACACACACACACAAUUUAUUACCAUUCAUCAGACGUCUGUUUUAGGGUCUCCUCUGACAUUAUGAAACUUGCUUAGUUUCCCCAUCUGUAAGAUGGAGAUAACAAUAACAUCAACCUCACAUAUUGUUGUAGGCAUUAAAUAAGUUACUACCUUAUUCUAAGUACCUGGCACACAUUACUCACUUUAUACAUGAUAACAAUUAUUAUGAUUAUUAUGGUCAAUUGUUCUUUCGGGGAUAACAUGAUCAAUGACUGUGUAGAUCUCAUGUUACCAGAGAUACAAACCCUGAAAAGGAGUAGAUUCUAUUCUAAAGUUGAACUACUUGUCCUUCUGGGAAGCAUGCAUUCUUCAUUAGGUCCUUGACAGAUACAAGCACAGGUAUCUAAGAAUAAUUAUACUCUCCCAGCAGAAGAUGGGAAAAUGGAAAACCACAGAGACCAAGAGUAACAAGGGCAGAAGCACAAUUAGGCAACAUGUUGCUGCUUGGGCUCUGACCUCCCAGCACCUAUUUCUCAAUCAGAUUUUUGUUUUGUUUGUUUUGUGGAUUUUAAAACUGCGAUAGGAAACACAUAACAAAAUUUACCAUCUUGACCAUUUUUAAGUGCACACUUUGAUAGUGUUAACUAUAUUCCCAUUGUUGUGCAACAAAUCUCCAGAAAUUUUUCAUCUUGCACAUUGAAACUCUGUACCCAUUUAACAAAACCUUUCCAUUUCACACCUCUCCCCAUCCCCUGGUAACCACCAUGCUACCUUCUGUUUCUAUAAAUUUGACUACUUUAGACACCUCAUAUAAGUGAAAUCAUACAAUAUUUGUCUUUUCAUGACUGGCUUAAUUCACUAUAAUGUCCUUAAGGUUCAUCCGUACUGUAGCAUGUGACAAGAUUCCCUUCCGUUUUAAGAAUUAAUAGUAUUUCAUUGUAUAUAUAUAUAUACCACAUUUUCUUUAUCCAUUCACCUGCCAAUAAGCAUUUAGCUUGUUUCCACCUUUGGCUAUUGUGAAUAACACUGCAAUAAACAUAGGAGUGCAAAAAUAUCUUUGAGAUCCUGCUUUUAAUCCUUUUGGAAAUAUACCCAGAAGUGGGACUGCUGAGUCAUAUGGUAGUUCUAUUUUCGCUUUUUUGAGAAACUGUCAUGCUGAUUUUCAUAGCAAUUGCACUAUUUUACAAUCCAAUCAACGUUGUACAAGAGUUCCAGUUUCUCCACAUCCUCCCUAACACUUGUUAUUUUUUUUUUUUUUUGAUAGUAGCCAUUUUGAUGGGUAGGGAGUGAUAUCUCACUGUAGUUUUGAUUUGCAUUUUUCUAAUGACUAGUGAUGUUGAGCUUAUUUUCAUAAGUUUGUUGGCUAUUUAAAUAUCAUCUUUGGAGUAAUGUUUAUUUAAGUCCUUUGCCAAUUUUUUAAUUGGAUUAUUUGUGAAUAUUUUCUUGUCAUUUUUCGGUUACAGGAAGUUUUUAAAAAUAAAUUCUCAAUAUGAACUACUAAUGAGAAAUAUGAUUUGCAAAUAUUUCUCCCAUUCUGUAGGUUGACGUUUUACUGUAUUGACAAUGCUCCUUGGUGCACAGAAGUUUUUAAGUCUGAUAUAGUCCAAGUUGUCUAUUUUUGUUUUGUUGCCUAUACUUUUGAUGUAAUGUCUAAGAAAUCACUGCCAAAUUCAAAUUUAUGAAGUUUUGUCAUCAUGAUUUCUUCUAGGAGUUUUAUAGUUUGGUUUUUAUUUAGGUCCUUAAUUUAUUUUGAGUUAAUUUUUGAAUGUGGUGUAAAAAUCUAACUUUUACAUGAGGAUAUCCAGUUUUCCCAACACUAUUUGUUGAAGAGACUGUCCUUUCCCCAUUGAGUGAACUUGGAACCCUUGUCUGGCUUUUUAUUCUAUUCCAGUGGACUAUAUAUCUAUCUUUAUACCAGUACUACAAUGUUUUGAUUACUAUAGUUUUGUAAUAUGUUUUGAAAACAAGAAGUAUCACACUUCCGAUUUUUUUGAUCUUUCAAUAUUGUUCAGACUAUUCUGGGUCUCUUAAAAUUUCACAUUUUUUUAUAGGUUUUUCUAUUUCUGAAAAAGAAAUAUUGCUGGGAUUUUGAUACAGACUGUGGUUGAAUCUGUAGGUCACUUUGGACAAUAUGGUCAUCUUAACAAUAUUAAGUCUUCUAAUCCAUGAACAUAGAAUGCCUUGCCAUUUAUUUGUAUCUGCUUUUAUUUCUUUCAGGAAUAUUUUGUAGUUGUCAGUGUGCAAAUUUUUCACCUCCUUGGUUAUGUUUAUUCCUAAGUAUUUUAUUUUUUGGUGCUGUCACAAAUGGAAUUGUUUUCUUAAUUUUCUCUAUGGAUUGUUUAUUGUUACCAUAAGAAAUGCAACUGAUUUUUGUGUUUUGAUUUUGUAUCUUGCAACCUUGCUAAAUUUGUUUAAUAGUUCUGACAGUUUUUUAUGCAUGUUUUCUAAGGUUUUCUAAGAUUAUGUAAUCUGUGAACAGAGAUAAUUUUAAUGCUUAUUUUCAAAUUUGAAUGUCUUUUAUUUCCUUUUCUUCCUAACUAUUCUGGCUAGUGCUUUCAGUUCUAUAUCUAAUAUACAUGCAGCUUUCUUGUCAUGUCUUUAAUCUUAAAGGAAAACCUUUCAGUCUUUUACCAUUGAGUAUAUUAACUGUGGGUUUUCAUAUAUGGACUUUAUUAUGUUGAGAUAGUUUCCUUCUAUUCCUAGUUUGUGUUUUUAACAUUAUAAAGGUGCUGAAUCUUGUCAAAUACUUUUUCUGUAUCAAUUGAGAUAAUUAAGUAGCUUUUGUUAUUCAUUCUGUAAAUGUGAUGUAUUACAUUGAUCAAUUUUUGUGUGUUGACUCUUCCUUGCAUUUCAGGAAUAAAUCCCGCUUUGUCAUGGUUUAUAAUCCUAUUCAUGUGCUGUAGAAUUUGGUUUACUGGUGUUUUGGUGAGGAUUUUUGCAUCAAUAUUUAUAAGAGAUUUUCAUCAGUAAUUUUAUUUUUUUAUGUCAUUGGUAUCAGGGUAAAGAUGGUGUCAUAGAAUUAUUUGGGAAGUGUUCUCUUCAAUUUUUAAAAAGAUUUUAAAGAAGAUUAUUACUGACUCUUCAUUAAAUGUUGGGGAAAAUUCUUCGAUGAAACCAUCUGGUUCUGGCUUUUCUUUCUUGGGAGGUUUGUUUCAGUGCCAUCAGUAAUGAUGUCUCUCUUUCAUUUUUGAUUUUAUAUGUUUGACUCUUCUCUCUUUUUUUCUUAGUUAAUGUAACUAAGGAUGUCAAUUUUGUUGAUCAUCUCAAAAAUUAACAUUCCAUUUCAUUGUUUAUUUUUGUUUUUCAAUUCUCUAUUUCAUUUAUCUCUAUUGUAAUCUUUACUAUUUCUUUAUGCUAACUUCAGAUUUAGUUUGCUGCUUUUCUAGUUCCUUGAAGUGUGAAGACGGGUUGUUGAUUUUAAAUAUUUCUCUUUUUUAAUAGCAACAUUUACAGCUAUAAAUUUCCCUCUUCACACUGCUUUUACUGCAUUACCUAAGUUUUGCUAUGUUGUGUUUUUAUUUUCCUUUUUCUCAAGGCAUUUUGUAAUUUCUCUUUGAUUUCUUCUUUCACCCAUUGAAUACUUAAGAUGAUGUCAUGUUGCUUAACUUUCAUGUAUUUGUAGAUUUUCCAGUUUUUCUUCUGCCACUGAUUUCUAGUUUCAUUCUAUCAUAAUCAAAAAAAUACUUUGUAUAAUUUCUAUAUUUUUAAAUUUGCUAAAAUGUCCUUGUGGCCCAAUGUGUAGUCUAUGCUGAAGGAUGUUCCCUGUACACAUGAGAAGAAUGCAUAUUCUGCCAUUGUUGAUGGAGUGUGCUCUUUGUGUCUGGUAAGGAACUGCAAGUGAUCAAUAUUGCUGGAGCAAAAGGAAGAGAGAGAAGGCUGAAGAGACUGGUACAAGAUAGAUCACGGAAGAACAGGAUGAAUGUAAGAUGAGCCUGAAGAAAAUAAAGACCUGAUGGCGAGCUGGGGUUGGUCUACGAAGGCUUUAUAAUAACCUUUGAUUUCUUGAAGAAAAAAAAGAAAAUUGUGAUGGCUUGAUGUUGACAAAAGUUGGAAAAUAAACUUAUUUAUGCACUUGGCAACAUGUACUCUGCAAUUCUGCUGCCAGGUCCUGCCUGUUCAGAAAGGCUUGCUUUUAGGAUACAAAUUGCUACAAUCAAAGCCACUGAUGAGACAACUUCAACUCACCCCUUCCACGUUUUCCACAAUUAAAAUCAUGGAAACAUACGAAACUCUCUCAUUUCACUAUUUGCGCAGGCUGUUCAUCUUUCCUUCUUUAACUUCUUUGCUCCCUUUCCAGACAAUAUCUUUUACUUGCAUUGUACUUUUAGAACACUGUUUCUGACAUGAAUAACCUCCUUACAUUUCCCUUGAGGUAACAUUCCCUGGAAAAAAUACAGAAAGGGGCAAAGGCAUCUUGUCCAAAGGAAGUAUGGAAAGCCUCUUCCCGUUACCACCACAAUCCUCUACAUUACGUGCAAGGAGUCAGAGAAGGACAUAGUGGUAACAAAUUGAGUCAGUAUUUCCUCUGCCCUCCUGCCAGCUCAGAGUUCUGUAUGCUUUCAGAGCUGAUAUAUGGAGGAACAACACAAGGUUAACUUUUUUCAGUAAAGAGUUUUGUUGUAUAAUAAUUUCUACUUAAACUAUAAUUUUUGACAAUUAUCGUCAAAAUUGCUCAUUUAACAUAAAAUGUUUAGUGCCGACUGGUUUUAUAAAGGUUAUUAUAAAGCUUCAGUUAUCAGUGCAUAUGCCUUCUCAGCUACACUGUGAGAAUUUUAAAGAGACAUAGCUACAAAUAUAGACUUCAUCAUGGACAGAGAGAGCACCAUAUAUUUUCAGAGUCUAGCACAGUGCUUUGAACACAUUAGAUGCUUGUUUCUCAUUUAGGAAUUGGUUGUUGAUUUCAGAGAAGUAACAUGCUACUUAGGUUAUGCCUGUGACAUUGGACAAAGAAGCACAAAAUCUAGGCAUUUUUCCCAGCUCUCCAUGUAAUUAAAUGUCAAUUCCUAAGGAAGUCACUUCACAGCUCUUGCCUUGGUUCUCUCAUUUAUACAAUUAAUAAUAAUAAAAAAGAAACACCUAAUUCAGCAUUAAUACAUUUUCCACAAUAAUUGAAAUUUUAUAAUUCCAUAAUUCCAUAAUAGUUCAAAAUAACAACUAUUCGCAUGUUGAUUUGGCUUUCCACUGGCAAAUAGUGUUUAGCACAGGGACUAAUUUUCCUACUGAACUGACUCUGCUUUCUUUUAACUUUUUAUUUCAAAGUAAUUUUAGAUUUGCAAAAGUGUUGCAAAGAUGAUACAGAAAGAUCCUAUCCACCCUUCACCCAGCUUCCCUUAAUAUUGGCAUCUUGCACAAACAUAGUAGAAUUACCACUAACUAAACUAUAGAAUUUAUUCAGAUUUUAUUUGUUUUUCUACUAGUGCCCUUUUUCUUCUCUGAGGUCCAAUCUAGGAUCCCAUAUUACAUUUGGUUGUCAUUUUCCCCUCCCUGAUUGGGUCUUUUGGCUGUUGGGAAGGGAUGCUUGCAGAUGCUACUUGUUUUGAAACAAUCUCACCGUUGCACAUGAAGAAAGCAUCAACUGGUUCUUUUCCCCAUUAACAAUACUGUUAUUUGUACCUUUCAGCUCGUUGCUUUUCUGCAAAGAGUUCAUCUUUUUUAUUUUCUUUUCCAACUUUUAUUUUGGAAUCAGGACGUACAUGUGCAGGUUUGUUACAAAGGUAUAUUGUGUGGUGCUGGGGUUUGGAGUAUGACUGAGCCUGUCACACAGGUAGUGGGCAUAAUACCCGAUGGGUAGUUUCUCAGCCCUUCCCCCCUCCCUCUCUCACACCCUUUAGUAGUCCCCAGUGUCUAUUAUUCCCAUCUUUAAGUCCAUUAGUACUCAAUGUUUAGCUCCCAUUUAUAAAUAAGAGCAUGCAGCGUUUGGUUUUCUUUUUUUACAUUCAUUCACUUAGGAUAAUGACCUCCAGCUAUAUCCAUAUUGCCGCAAAUGACAUGAUUUUAUUCUUAUUUAUGGCUACAUAGUAUUCCAUGGUGUACAUGUACCACAUUUUUUUAAUUCAUUCCACUGUUGAUGGGCAACUGGGUUGAUUCCACGUUUUUGCUAUUGUGAAUAGUGCUGCAGUGAACAUACAGGUGCAUGUUUCCUUUUGGUACAGCAAUUUAUUUUCCAGACAUCCAGACCUAUCUAGUAAUGGAAUUGCUGGUUUGAAUGGCAGUUCAACUCUCACUUCUUUCCAAACUCUCCAAACUGCCCCCUCCACAGUGGCUGGACUAAUUUACAUUGCAACAGAGUAUCAGUUCACCCUUUUCUCCACAGCCUUGCCAACAUCUGUUAUUUUUUGACUCUUUAUCAAAAGCCAUUCUGACUGGUGUGAGAUAGUAUCUCAUUGCGGUUUUGAUUUGCAUUUCUCUGAUGAUAGAACGACAGAGUCUGUCUUAAAUCUCACCCAGCAUUCUCAAGAUUUCAGAAGGAGAAGCUGUUUCUACACCCCGGCAAAGGCAUCUACUGACAUCAAGAUACGAUUCUACUGUUCCUCAGCUAUAUUUGGGAAAAUGUUUUUUUGGUCUGUUUUAGCAAGUGACUAUAAAAGCUUUUCAUGAUAUUAUGCCAUAAUUAAAUAACUGGUUUUCAUUAAUAUAUUAUACUAGAAAUGCUAUAGGCAUCCUAUAAUUACAUGUAAGACUUCGCUAGUAUUAGCUCAACUAUGUUGUCUUUGCAGUGUAUAGGAAAAUUACAAGAUACAUAAAAUGUGUGUUGUGAGUCAUCUUGGCAUUAUUGGUAAAAUGUUCUAUUUAUUCAAAAGCAAAAGGCAGAUGUAGUUUUUUUUUUUUUUUUUUUAAUUUCUGUUGGAGCCAUUAAAGAAGCCUAGUCUCUAUUUUUUUAGUUUUCUUUUGCCUCUUUUUUCUUAAAUUUUUAUGUCUUUCUUUUUCUUUUCCCCUUGCCUUUUACAUUUUCUGUCUUUGUUCUUUCUGUUGAUGCCAUUGAUUUCUUCCCCAGCAAUCAUUCUUCAAGGAGUCUUUUGACAUGGCUCCAGUUUGGGUAGAUAAACUUCAAAGAAUGAUUAUCAUUGAACUUUGUCAUCUGUUGAAUGAAUAAAUGAAAGAAGAAUAGUAUCAAAUAGAAAAUCAUGUUUCAUAAUUUUGAAUGGAGCUCUUGAAUGCUCUCAUCUCCUGUUCAAUUUCUCCUUUAUAAUCUAUUCUGUCCUGGAAAAAAAAAAAUAUUUCCAGGGUGAGAAGGAAAGUCUUUAAAAAUACACCUACUCUUCCCUUCACGGCCAAAUGUUUAAUCUCUUACUAUCCUUCAGGAAUUUCCAGUUGUAUCUCCACUGUUUUAUUCAAAUGCAAAACACUCAGACCCAAACAGAUCUUGUUUCUCUAUACCCCAAUGUGUCCAUCUUACUUUCUCUUUGGAUAUCAGCAAUGCUGUCAUAGUCUUGGUACUCUAAGCUCGAAGCUUCUGAAUUAGCCUUUACUCCUCCAGGUAAUGGGAAGGAUAGCUAUUGAGUCCGACCAAUCUCCUAUGAAUUAUCUCUGGAGUCUGCCUCUUUUUCCUUCAUUUCUAUCAUUGCCCAGUCCAUGCUCAUCUCCAGACAUCUAGACCCUUGCAAUAACUGCAUAAGUUCUUCCUGCCUCUGUUUUCUGCCUUAUGCCUGCACCCCUCUGCCUGAAUUGUCUUGUUAAAUUCCUCCUUUCAUCCUGUUAUUUCCCUGCUCAAAAGCUCUCAUUACUCUUCAGAAACCUUAGCACAACAGUCAUUUAUAGGGACAAUUGUUAUAGAAUUCAAGGGGUAUCCUGCCAAUUAAACAAAUGGUCCAUUUCUCUGACCUAGUUUCUCCUUUUUCUUUUUUUCUUUUUUGAGAUGAAGUCCAGCUCUGUCACCCAGCCUGGAGUGCUGGGUGGAGCGAUCUCGGCUCACCACAACCUCCAAGCAAUUCUCCUGUUUCAGCCUCUCCAAUAGCUGGGACUACAGGCACCCACCACCAUGCCUGGCUAACUUUUUUUGUAUUUUUAGUAGAGACAGGGUUUUGCCAUGUUGGCCAGGCUGGUCUUGAGCUCCUGAUUUCAAGUGUUCUGCCCACCUCAGCCUCCCAAAGUGCUGGGAUUACAGGCAUGACCCACUGCGCCCGGUUGUCUCUUUCAAACUCAGCCUGUUCUCUACAGCAGAUCAUAGCUUAUCCUACCUAUUCAUGCUCCUGUGUCUCCUCCCAGCAUCCAGCAGGUAUCAAGGAGAUGUAAGUUGUCAUCUUUUUGGAUGCUCUUUAACUUUUCUGUCCCCAAAAGUUGAACAGGGAACUUUUUUUUUUCAAAGUUGAACUUAGUGCCUUCACAGAAAAAUGAUGAGUAACAAAAUUAGAAUUAGGUCUAAGAAUACCUAGCACUGUUUUAUAGUUCCUGGUGUUUCUUCUCACGUCUCAGCUCCCCAGAAUGUAUAUAGUGUAGAUUUUCCUCUGUGGUGUACUGGUGGUCAUGAGCAAGGAGAACUUAAGAGCACUCAUACUUUUGAGUGACACAUGCACCCCAAGGGAAUUCCAGAUAAACGACUUCAGGUAUAAUGUUAUCCCUUUCCUCCUGGCUGUUAUACAUGGGAAAGUCCCUUUUUGUUAUUUGCUAACAGUACUCUAACUUCAAAUUACCUUUGCAAUCCUGCCUGCCCAUAAUCCAAAUCCAAUCCUCAAGUAUAUAUUUCCUUCUACAAUGCCAGCCUCCUCACAUUCCCCCCUGGUACAAUGCUCAUGACUAUUUCUCCGUUUUUACUUUCUGCUUGGAAUGGCCUCAUGCCUCUUUGCAGCCUAGCUCAUGCCUCGUCAUAGUUCAAGUCUCAGUUCCUGUCCCCAUCUCCUCUAUGAAACCUUCUCCACCAUACUAUCCCAUGACAGUCUACUUAUAAAUCCUACAGCUCUUAUUGUAUAUACCAUUUAUAUGCUGCCAAUGCCACUGCACUAUAAUUUAUAUGUACCAAUAGGUUUUUUAAAAAUUCAUAUCUUAUUGCCAAAAAAUACUGUAAAAUCUAAAGGACUGAUCAUCUAAGUGAAUAUUUUUCAAUCCCUUGGUUUAGUUUAGGCAAAGGCAUCUGUAAGGGGAGUGGAAUUGGGGGAUUCUAAAUUUUUUUCAGAGACUUAGAAUCCGUUAAAAAAUCAAGAAUUCCCUGAAGACUAACUUGUAUAUGUCUUACAAAUGUACAUACUGAGAAUUGUAUAUACAUAUGAUGAUUUUAUAUGUGUGAAUGGUAUGAUUAAUAAAAUAAUA